GAUGAACGCUGGCGGCGUGCCUAAUACAUGCAAGUCGAGCGAACAGACGAGGAUCUUGCUCCUCUGACGUUAGCGGCGGACGGGUGAGUAACACGUGGAUAACCUACCUAUAAGACUGGGAUAACUUCGGGACACCGGAGCUAAUACCGGAUAAUAUAUUGAACCGCAUGGUUCAAUAGUGAAAGACGGUUUUGCUGUCACUUAUAGAUGGAUCCGCGCCGCAUUAGCUAGUUGGUAAGGUAACGGCUUACCAAGGCAACGAUGCGUAGCCGACCUGAGAGGGUGAUCGGCCACACUGGAACUGAGACACGGUCCAGACUCCUACGGGAGGCAGCAGUAGGGAAUCUUCCGCAAUGGGCGAAAGCCUGACGGAGCAACGCCGCGUGAGUGAUGAAGGUCUUCGGAUCGUAAAACUCUGUUAUUAGGGAAGAACAAAUGUGUAAGUAACUAUGCACGUCUUGACGGUACCUAAUCAGAAAGCCACGGCUAACUACGUG
This 497-nucleotide ribosomal RNA is filed under the name uncultured bacterium. RNAcentral's name for it is "partial 16S ribosomal RNA". It matches the Rfam family "Bacterial small subunit ribosomal RNA", at positions 28 to 507 of the family's 1533-position model. The record is from RNAcentral.